Long non-coding RNA from Corapipo altera (White-ruffed manakin), 1809 nucleotides. RefSeq lists it as uncharacterized. NCBI's taxonomy places the organism in Eukaryota, Metazoa, Chordata, Aves, Passeriformes, Pipridae. The record is from RefSeq and is a predicted model, not a curated record. The transcript is spliced from 3 exons.
AGGCAAGGUUUUAUGAUAUCCUGACUCUUACUGCUCAAUGUCAAAAAGUCAAGGCAGCAGAAAUGACUCUGAGUUGCCAAGAGUCAUUUUCCCCUCAGGCCAAGGAAGGGAACAGGUCCAUCAUGUGUUGUCUAAUGGCUGUGCAGGUCUGUUCAUUACACCAGGAAGGUCAGUACUACAGUGCUGCCUUCGGUUCUGGAGUCUCCUAUCUGGAAAGGAUGGGAUGGAUCACAAACUACAAUCCUAGAAGAGAGCUUGGCUGAAGUCAGCUGUAUUACAACAGGUCUGGAUUUCACUCAUGGGGAACAUAGCUUUUCCUUUACACUGAACAAUCAAAUUUGCCAAGCUUGUCUCUGGCAGCCAGACUUGACCAAGUGCAGUUGCUGCAGUACAGAAAGAAACAGUCCGAACUCAGCAUUUAUGGCUGUGCAGAGAUCCAGAGACUGUCACAAGGAGAUGAGGAGGAGCCCCCUUUCACCAUUUUGUUCAUCUCCCUCCCCUCAGCCAGCAAGUGGCUAAUUCUGUCCCCAGAGUUGUCCACAAUUCUCCACUGUAAACAUCAAGAAUGAUAGACCAUCCCUAUCUCUUUGUGCUGACUAUAUGAAAUUUUAUGGACCAUCAAUGCUCUUAAGAGCACUCUGGAAAUGGAAUAGUAUCAUCAUUCAACUCCUUGCAGGACCAGUUGUGAGAACAGUUUUGAGCAAAACUGGAUGAAGCAGUAGUUUUAGUCUUAGUUUAGGUUUCUGGGGGCUAUGCAGCAGUCUUGCAGACAUUCAUGACUCUUCACAGAAUAGAGGAAAAAAUAUAGAUGAUGAUAACGAUUAAUAAUAAUAAACUAAUAAUAAUUAUAUAGUCAAAAUAUUAAACAGGUUGCUUUUAUUUCUCUGUGAAAAUUAAAAUGUUGACCUUUCCUUUAGUCUGAUUUUGUAAAAGCCAACUUUAUUUGAUUCAAUAAAGUGACUAAACAGUAAGUAGAGGAUGGUAACUGUACACUAAAGUGGGAGGAAAAAUCAAAUGUCAGAUAAGAAUUACCUGAGCAAAAGAAUGUAAGACCAUCUUUUAAGUCAUGGAAGGAGUCAAAGUAAGGUUGCCAAGGAAACCUUAACUUUGCUUUUCCUACGUUGUUUUUUUUUUUUUUUUUAAUUAUGAACUUAGCCUCCUCAUUGUGCCAAAAUUAAUGGGAAUUUUGAGUCCUAUCAAUUAGUCUGUGGGUUUUGUCUUUCUUCUUUGUCUCUGUUCAUUUGUCAUAUGAUAUAUUAGAAUCUGAACAUACCUUUCUGAACAUCAUUUAUGCUAUGUACAGGGAAAAUGAUAAGGUUAAAGAAAAAAGACCUCUCAACAGUCAUUUAAGGAAAGAGAGGCCCAUAAAAAAUGGAAGCACGGUGGCCUGUCUGUAUGGCUUUGAAUAACACCCUUCCCGAGAUAAAACCGUAUUGAUUGGACUGAUUCUAGAUAACUGGCUUUGCAGCACCAUCUGCAUUCUGUGACAAUCUAUGAUUCUAAUUAUUUGGAAUUGUUAUUCAGUCUGAUAAAUUGUAUGAAGGAUUUUGUUUUCCAUCAAGUCAUUCUUCAUUCAGCACUGAUAGCAUCAUAAUUAAGUAGCAGUUGCUGGCUCUGAAUGUGGAUAAUUCAUAGGAAUUAUUUCUAAUAAACAAACAACAUAGAAUGUAUCAAAAACCAUCCUUAAAACAUAAUCUCUUGCUCUGUGUACUGGAUCUAUUCCCUCUGAUACAACCUAAUCAGACAAAAAGCAGGGGAGGUAUUUGCACAUUUCGGCUUUCCUGUUCUGUGAGCUUUGUUAGGAAGUGU